RNAcentral lists this ribosomal RNA (330 nucleotides) under Triticum aestivum (bread wheat). RNAcentral's name for it is "partial small subunit ribosomal RNA". Lineage: Eukaryota; Viridiplantae; Streptophyta; Magnoliopsida; Poales; Poaceae. The record is from RNAcentral.
AUGCCUACAUAUCUACCACAAUACAACCCAAUCCUAAAUCCUAUGGCGAUGUAUGGACAAGACCAAAGAUUGCCAGCUGAAUUGCAACAUUACAAUAGCUUAAUGGGUCAUUUGGGAGUUCCGACAAAUCACGUGUAUACCUAUUCAGAACAAUGCAACUCAGCUCUGGAUGCCUCACUAUUGCCGUCUCUUGGUACGAUGAGAGGACACCCAGCUCCAAAUUUCUCGCUGCAACCAACCAUUGGUACAAUGAGAGGACACCCAGCUCUGAAUGCCUCACUGCAGUCGUCCAUUGGUACGAUGAACCAAGCUCCAAAUGCCUCACUGUAG